Long non-coding RNA from Tachysurus fulvidraco (yellow catfish), 374 nucleotides. RefSeq lists it as uncharacterized. The record is from RefSeq and is a predicted model, not a curated record. The transcript is spliced from 2 exons. Lineage: Eukaryota; Metazoa; Chordata; Actinopteri; Siluriformes; Bagridae.
GUGGUAUAUUUUUAGGAAACGAAACCGAGAGGCACUGAGACGGAAUACUAAGCGACAUGAUCCUUUCAGACACGAUCUGUACUGCACAGGAAUAAAAGAUGAGCAUGACAGCACAGAGGACAAUGGCUUAAAGCUCCUCUAAAACAGCUUUUAAAGGCACUUUCACGAGUCCGUACUUUAAUGAACAUUGCCACAUUGAUAUAACAGCAGUCUGCUACUGUACACCUGCGGAGGGAGAAUCCAGGAAUAAAUCCUGAAACAAAUACACUCUCUAAUAAAGCAUGUUCUGUCUGCAAUGCACUGUACACCUUAUUACAAAAAAAAAAAAAAAAAAAAAAAGAGAGAGAGAGAGAGAACCUACUUUAAAAUGUUAU